UGUACCGUAACUUCGGGAGAAGGUACGCUGUUGAUGGUGAAGGAUUUACUCCGUAAGCUAUCGGCAGCCUCAGAAACUAGGCCGCUGCAACUGUUUAUUAAAAACACAGCACUCUGCAAACACGAAAGUGGACGUAUAGGGUGUGAUGCCUGCCCGGUGCUGGAAGGUUAAUUGAUGGGGUUAGCGAAAGCGAAGCUCUUGAUCGAAGCCCCAGUAAACGGCGGCCGUAACGAUAACGGUCCUAAGGUAGCGAAAUUCCUUGUCAGGUAAGCUCCGACCUGCACGAAUGGCAUAAUGAUGGCGGCGCUGUCUCCACCAGAGACUCAGUGAAAUCGAAAUCGCGGUGAAGAUGCCGUGUACCCGCGGCUAGACGGAAAGACCCCGUGAACCUUUACUGCAGCUUUGCACUGAACUUUGACCUUACUUGUGUAGGAUAGGUGGGAGGCUUUGAAGCUCGGACGCUAGUUCGAGUGGAGCCAUCCUUGAAAUACCACCCUGGUAAUGUCGAGGUUCUAACCCAGAUCCGUUAUCCGGAUCGGGGACAGUGUAUGGUGGGUAGUUUGACUGGGGCGGUCUCCUCCUAAAGAGUAACGGAGGAGUACGAAGGUGCGCUCAGCGUGGUCGGAAAUCACGCAAUGAGUAUAAAGGCAAAAGCGCGCUUAACUGCGAGACCGACAAGUCGAGCAGAUACGAAAGUAGGUCUUAGUGAUCCGGUGGUUCUGUAUGGAAGGGCCAUCGCUCAACGGAUAAAAGGUACUCUGGGGAUAACAGGCUGAUACCGCCCAUGAGUUCAUAUCGACGGCGGUGUUUGGCACCUCGAUGUCGGCUCAUCUCAUCCUGGGGCUGAAGCAGGUCCCAAGGGUAUGGCUGUUCGCCAUUUAAAGAGGUACGCGAGCUGGGUUUAGAACGUCGUGAGACAGUUCGGUCCCUAUCUACCGUGGGCGUUGGAGACUUGAGAGGAUCUGCUUCUAGUACGAGAGGACCGAAGUGGACGUACCUCUGGUGUUCGGGUUGUCACGCCAGUGGCACUGCCCGGUAGCUAUGUACGGACGGGAUAACCGCUGAAAGCAUCUAAGCGGGAAGCCCACCUUAAGAUAAGGUCUCCCUGGGGGUUUAACCCCCCUAAAGAGCCGUUAGAGACCAUGACGUUGAUAGGUUCGGUGUGGAAGUGCGGUGACGCAUGAAGCUAACGAAUACUAAUUGCUCGUGAGGCUUGACC
Molecule: ribosomal RNA, 1219 nt
Filed under: metagenome
Description: bacterial LSU rRNA
Rfam family: Bacterial large subunit ribosomal RNA
Source: RNAcentral